RNAcentral lists this ribosomal RNA (255 nucleotides) under Stenotrophomonas sp. LL37. RNAcentral describes it as "partial 16S ribosomal RNA". It matches the Rfam family "Bacterial small subunit ribosomal RNA", at positions 62 to 311 of the family's 1533-position model. The record is from RNAcentral. Lineage: Bacteria; Pseudomonadati; Pseudomonadota; Gammaproteobacteria; Lysobacterales; Lysobacteraceae.
UCGAACGGCAGCACAGUAAGAGCUUGCUCUUAUGGGUGGCGAGUGGCGCACGGGUGAGGAAUACAUCGGAAUCUACUUUUUCGUGGGGGAUAACGUAGGGAAACUUACGCUAAUACCGCAUACGACCUUCGGGUGAAAGCAGGGGAUCUUCGGGCCUUGCGCGAUUGAAUGAGCCGAUGUCGGAUUAGCUAGUUGGCGGGGUAAAGGCCCACCAAGGCGACGAUCCGUAGCUGGUCUGAGAGGAUGAUCAUCCUC